GGUGGGGGAGGAGAAGAGAGAGAGAGGGGAAAAAGAUGGAAAGUAUUUGAAUUUUGUCUCUCUUUCUCAUUUGGGUUGUGAUUUUCUUGGAAAAUAUUUGAAGGGUUUGUAAAAUCUUGGGUGUAUUUGUAUUGAAUUGAAGGAUCUGAUGUAUUGUGCUAAAUUAGGGUUUUUUGAUUGGAAAUGCAUGUUGUUGAGGAUUUGAACUUUAAUUUGGGGGAUUGGGAUUAUUAGAGUAUUGAUAUGGAUGUGGAUUCAACUAUGGUAUCGGAGUCCGAUCACGAUCCGACUGUUCAGAAUGAUAGUUCGACGUCGGAACAACAGCUUAAUGAUGAGUCUUCAACUUCGUUGCAGCAGCAAAGUUCACAAACUCAGCAACAGCAGCAGCAAAGUAGUAGUAGUAGUGUUCCUGCUGUUGCGGGACCUAGGUGUGCUCCGACGUAUUCGGUGGUGCACGAAGUGAUAGAGAAGAAGGA
This 476-nucleotide unclassified non-coding RNA is filed under the name Hevea brasiliensis (rubber tree). Lineage: Eukaryota; Viridiplantae; Streptophyta; Magnoliopsida; Malpighiales; Euphorbiaceae. The record is from RNAcentral.